UAAAUGAAUGUAUAAUAUAGUUAUGAAAAUAAUGUUACUGAGCCAAAAAAGAAUGAAACUCACUAGCAUCUGAAGACGACCCUCCCUGGGAGCCGUCACCCGAUCCGGAGUGGUCGCCACCACGGCCACCUCCACCGCUAUGUCGAGGCAUAUAUAGCUGUACUACUGAAAUAACAGACAUAGAUACGAUGAAGGAUCAAAUGGCCAUCCUAUGUGUGGG
Molecule: long non-coding RNA, 220 nt
Filed under: Panax ginseng (ginseng)
Lineage: Eukaryota; Viridiplantae; Streptophyta; Magnoliopsida; Apiales; Araliaceae
Description: long non-coding RNA (PGIN_LNC001479)
Source: RNAcentral